Molecule: transfer RNA, 72 nt
Filed under: Monodelphis domestica (gray short-tailed opossum)
Lineage: Eukaryota; Metazoa; Chordata; Mammalia; Didelphimorphia; Didelphidae
Rfam family: tRNA
About the family: Transfer RNA (tRNA) molecules are approximately 80 nucleotides in length. Their secondary structure includes four short double-helical elements and three loops (D, anti-codon, and T loops).
Source: Rfam by way of RNAcentral
GGCUGGCUAGCUCAGUGGAUGAGAGUCAAGCCUAGAGGUGGGAGGUCGUAGGUUCGAAUCCGGCGUCAGCCA